AAUCAACGCUGGCGGCGUGCCUCAGACAUGCAAGUCGAACGAUUAAAGCUCUCUUCGGAGAGUGUAUAGAGUGGCGCACGGGUGAGUAACACGUAAGUAAUCUACCCUCGAGUGGGGAAUAACAACCGGAAACGGUUGCUAAUACCGCAUAAUGCAGCGGCACCGCAAGGUGACAGUUGUUAAAAGAUUUAUCGCUUGAGGAGGAGCUUGCGGCAGAUUAGCUAGUUGGUAGGGUAACGGCUUACCAAGGCUACGAUCUGUAACCGGUCUAAGAGGACGGUCGGUCACACUGACACUGAAUAACGGGUCAGACUCCUACGGGAGGCAGCAGUCGGGAAUUUUGGGCAAUGGGCGAAAGCCUGACCCAGCAACGCCGCGUGAAGGAUGAAGUAUUUCGGUAUGUAAACUUCGAAAGAAUAGGAAGAAUUAAUGACGGUACUAUUUAUAAGGUCCGGCUAACUACGUGCCAGCAGCCGCGGUAAU
This 483-nucleotide ribosomal RNA is filed under the name uncultured bacterium. RNAcentral describes it as "bacterial SSU rRNA". It matches the Rfam family "Bacterial small subunit ribosomal RNA", at positions 32 to 524 of the family's 1533-position model. The record is from RNAcentral.